Molecule: ribosomal RNA, 301 nt
Filed under: uncultured bacterium
Lineage: Bacteria
Description: partial 16S ribosomal RNA
Rfam family: Bacterial small subunit ribosomal RNA
Source: RNAcentral
CAGUAGCCGCGGUAAUACGUAGGGUGCAAGCGUUAAUCGGAAUUACUGGGCGUAAAGCGUGCGCAGGCGGUUAUAUAAGACAGAUGUGAAAUCCCCGGGCUCAACCUGGGAAUUGCAGUGGAUACUGGGUCACUAGAGUGUGGUAGAGGAUAGUGGAAUUUCCGGUGUAGCAGUGAAAUGCGUAGAGAUCGGAAGGAACAUCUGUGGCGAAGGCGACUAUCUGGGCCAACACUGACGCUGAGGUGCGAAAGCGUGGGGAGCAAACAGGAUUAGAUACCCCAGUAGUCCCUGUCUCUUAUAC